This 292-nucleotide ribosomal RNA is filed under the name uncultured bacterium. RNAcentral's name for it is "partial 16S ribosomal RNA". It matches the Rfam family "Bacterial small subunit ribosomal RNA", at positions 505 to 796 of the family's 1533-position model. The record is from RNAcentral.
GUGCCAGCCGCCGCGGUAAGACAGAGGUGGCAAGCGUUGUUCGGUGUCACUGGGCUUAAAGGGUGUGUAGGCGGAUGAGCAAGCGCGUUGUGAAAUCCCUCGGCUUAACCGAGGAACAGCUUCGCGUACUACUCGUCUUGAGGCAGGUAUGGGUGCGGGGAACUGUUGGUGGAGCGGUGGAAUGCGUAGAUAUCAACAGGAACGCCGGUGGUGAAGACGCUGCACUGGGCCUGUCCUGACGCUGAGACACGAAAGCGUGGGGAUCGAACGGGAUUAGAAACCCUGGUAGUCC